Molecule: long non-coding RNA, 459 nt
Filed under: Callithrix jacchus (white-tufted-ear marmoset)
Lineage: Eukaryota; Metazoa; Chordata; Mammalia; Primates; Cebidae
Description: lncRNA (ENSCJAG00000076960.1)
Source: RNAcentral
ACCAGUCAGAACUGAAGGCAAGAGCAACAGACCAACACUGAGAGUGAUUGAGAGAAGAGCCACAUGUGGAAAAGAUGGAAAGAAUUGUGACACAAUCCAGUGGUUCUCAAACGUCUGGCACAUCCUAUUCACUAACAUCAUCUCCAGAAUUUAAAGCGUCCUCUUCUACAAUGUCUACUUGAGGGUCUUCAUUAUCACUACUGUUUGCGGCUAAAUCCUCAUUUGAAAUACUGUCAGCUUCUUCUUCAAGUACCUUCAGAUCUCCUGUAUCAAUAAUCCCUAGAAAUUCAUUUUCAUCUACAUCUCUUGCAUUUCCUAUUUCUUCAUUGGAAGAUGUAUCACCAAUUCCAUCUACUUGAAAUAUUUCAUUAAUAUCAUCAUCGGUAACCUCUCUAUUAGUCCAUUUUCAUGCUGCUGAUAAAGAGAUACUCAAGACUGGACAAUUUACAAAAGAAGACA